RNAcentral lists this long non-coding RNA (414 nucleotides) under Pan troglodytes (chimpanzee). Its description in RNAcentral is "long non-coding RNA NONPTRT006207". The record is from RNAcentral. Lineage: Eukaryota; Metazoa; Chordata; Mammalia; Primates; Hominidae.
AUGCAUGAAUAAAUAAAGAUAUCUAUCAACACCUUUCCACAGGAAGGCUGUGCUGGGAGAGGGACUGGUGCUGGAGAAGGCAGAGGAGGGAAUCCAGAAGGCUGGCCAGCUUCUCACUUGGGGAUGGCUGGGAAGAACACCUGGCAUUGGAGUAGUCAGGAGACCCCUUAGCACCAAGCCGGAGCUCUGGCAGAACGAAGGCCAAAAGAAGCUGCAGAGAAGUCUUCUACACAGUUCGAAAAUGCCACUUGACACAUUGAAUCCUCUGGGGAAACACCAUAAGGCUGUUGAUUCUGUGUUAUGAUGGCCUGAAAACAGAGGACCAUGAAUGAAAAUUCACAAGCUGGGAAGCAGCAGAGAGAGCAAAGGAGCCAUAGUUCCAGGAAUCAACAGAAUGCUUGGGGGAGAUUCCAC